ACUUCUUUCAGUUUAGUAUGCUGUAUUCACAGCUCACAAUGUGGUUUCCUUUACAUAGGGGAGACCAAACAUAGACUGGGUGACUGUUUUACCAAACACAUCUGUUCAGUCUGCAAGCAUGACCCAGGGCUUCCUGUCGUUUGAUAUUUGAAUUCCCCACCUAGUACUCAUGCUCCCCUCUCUUGUCGUCUGCCACCUGCUGUGUACCAACGAACCUCAAUUUAAGCUCCAGUGACAGCACGCCUCAUCUUUUGAAUAGGCACAUGACAGUCUCCUUGACCCAGUAUUUGAGUUCAACGGUUUUAGACUGUAAACUCUGUCCCCCAUUUUAUCUCCUCUUUCUUUGCCGGUUUUGUUAUUACUGUCUGGUUUCUUCCUUGUUUUUGCUUCUGGAGGCAGCUGCCAAGCUUCGUUUAAAAUUCUCAUCCUUGUUUUCAAAUCCCUAAGGGUUUUGCCCCCUCCCUAUCUCUGUAAUCUCCUCCAACCCCACAACCUUCCAAAAUACCUCCGUUCCUCUAAAUCUAGCCUCUUAUGCGUUUCUGAUUUUAAUUUCUCUGCCAUAGGUGGCUGUGCCUUCAGUUGCCUAGGCCCCACCUGUCCACCUUGCUUUCCUCCAUUUUAAGACACUCCUUUAAAAUCUAUUUCAUUGAACUAAAAUCUCCUAAUGUGGCUCGUUGUCAUACUUGGUUUUAUAAUGCUCCUGUGAAGCAUCCUGGGAUGUUUCCUUACCUUACCGGCUGGAUAUAGAUAUAAGUGGUUGUUGAGCAUCAGCCUGGAUUGUGUGGAGCUCGGGUCUCUAGUGGGACUUGAACUCAGGACCUUCUCACUCCAGGAGUGCUACCCAGUCAGCCACAACCUUGUCUUGUGCUCCCUGCUUUUGGGGGAAUCUCUUCAAAACCAUCCCCUCACCAGCCUUUGAUUCCUUAGCCUACUCUCUUUAUCCCCCUCUUUAGAAUCACGGGAUGGCUGCAGCACAGAAAGAGUCCAUUCUAGCCCCAGGACUCCAUGCAAGGAGCCUAGAGCAAUGAGGCAAAGAAGGCAGAGGCGGGAGGUACGGCGGAAACUAUCACUGAGGCAAAUACCGGCGAAGCUAACGUUCCCGUUGUGGCGGUUACCUCUCAGGGGUUCGCUUAUGAAGCCGCUGCUGCCAAUGAGGGGGGUGCCUGGUAUGAGGCGCUUAGCUAGCAAGCCCCUGCCACCCACCCGCUGCCUGCCGGUGAAGAAUUCGCGCCUGAAGGUGGAAAGAAGGCUGCCACAUGUGAAAGUAGAGAAGAGGCUGCCAGGAAGGAGCCCACCAACAAAGGUAGCAAGGAAAAUGCCAAUGAGGUGUUUCUUCAGGAACAGCUCAUCAUUUCCAAGGAAGAGGUCGAGGGUUAGGAAUGUCAUCCAGGAGCCGUCUGUCCCAGCAAGGAGAUCCCCAGCCAGUAUAAAUCUUCUUUAUGCUUCUUAAAAUAGCGUUUACUGCAACAAAGCAUACGUGCUACGUUGCCGUGUUAAUUCUAAUUGUUAUUGAAUUACAAAGAGGAAUAAAAGCUUACAAUAAAUCA
Molecule: long non-coding RNA, 1547 nt
Organism: Carcharodon carcharias (great white shark)
Lineage: Eukaryota; Metazoa; Chordata; Chondrichthyes; Lamniformes; Lamnidae
Exons: 2
Source: RefSeq, a predicted model, not a curated record